This is a long non-coding RNA of Lates calcarifer (barramundi perch), 849 nucleotides long. RefSeq lists it as uncharacterized. NCBI's taxonomy places the organism in Eukaryota, Metazoa, Chordata, Actinopteri, Centropomidae. The transcript is spliced from 3 exons. The record is from RefSeq and is a predicted model, not a curated record.
GGGAGGAGCGCAGAGAGGCGGAGAAACGAAGUCGGGUAACAGAUUUAAACCAUGUUUGAAAGCUUGCCUCGGUUUGUCAGUACUGUGAGAAAACCUAAUUACUGAGGAAACUUGGACCCUAAAACAAAGCGUAGGAGCUGCUUUUUUGUCGAACGCGAGUGAGACUGGACGCUGAACACACCAAAAGGUGUCACCAGGUGUCCACGAUCGCCGAGACAUCACCCAUGAUGGCAGGGACAUGGUCCAUGUUGAGGAUGAGGGAGACAUUGUCCUCGAUCAGAGACCUUGUCAAUGAUCAGACAUUGUCCAUGACUCGCAGAGACAUGUGCAAAAGUUGGUAGUGACGGAGUUCCCCUGAUUUGACUGUACUGUCUGCAAUCACAGAGAAUCUAUGAACAAUGAAGACGUUCUUUGGGACAAGGCCUGACACCUCCAGCAGAAGAAGACGACAGCAGCUGAAGACCUGAAGUGGAUGAAAGAAGUCAGAAGUGUUACAAAGUUGUUAAUUAGAUAAAAGACCUCCAUCGUCUAACUGCUGUAAAACACUUUGUUUUUCUCUACCAUCUAUGAUGUAGUCAUGGGCACAUUUUCCAAUGUUAUUUAUUUAACACCUGUGAGACCAUUCAACUGCUUAUGAUACAAUUGUUUAAUUGAUAAUUGUACCACAAGCAGUUAAAUGAUCACAGAGAUGCUUAGUAGACACGUUCCUCUUUGGAAAAUGUGCUCAUAACUACAUUGACCCUAAUCAGCUCUAACAAGAGUUUCCUUGUGGUCAAAUGUCUGUCAUUAUCUUUGCUGGGAUUUGUUAAAUGUUGUCUGGAAUAAAAUCAUUAAAAGUUUCUUCCUAAA